UCCUUCUUCAUUUUAAAAGAGAAAUCGAAAAUGGGAAAGAGAAGGAGAGGAGUCGUCAAUGAGAGAAGGAGAGAGCUGAGUUCAAGUGGGUGAGCCGAGAGGAGUCCAAGCAGAGUGAGAGCCAAGUGGAAGAGAGACGAAGAUGAAAGGAAUAGGGCGGCCGGAGAAGACGAAAGGACAGAAGAGAAGAGUCAGAACCACAAGGGAAGAGAAGAAGAGAGAGUCGCAGAGGCAGAAGCUGAAUGGAAGGGGAAGGAAAGGAAAUCGAGCCGAGGAGCACCGCGUGAUGGCAUAACCCGAAGCGAAAUAAGGUGUGAAAUUCGUUGUAUAAACUUCGAAGCAAGCAAGGAGUGUCGCGGGGAACCAAUAAGACCAUCCUCGAAGUCGAACCCAAGGCCGAAUUGCACCACGCUGACGCAUGUAAGCUUUUUCUGUUAUUGUUUUGGCUGUAGGGUGACCGGGGCAGGCGGUUGAUGUCGGGUUGACCGCGCGAGCUCAACCUAGUCGCUCGCCCACUCGAAAACAGAGGAGUUUCCUUAGGUGUGGGAACCUGAUACUCCCAGGUCUUGAAAUAGGGACCAUUGGGGAGCAGAUUGCACACCCUUACGGUAUGAGUCGGGCAUCCCGUCGAGUUGUCAUUGGAACCCAUGAUUUCGGUUGAAUUUAGCUUCUGUUUAAUAUUUAAAUUGCAUUAAUUAAUCUGUGUCAUGUGUGUGUACAGUGAAUUAGGACCUUCGAACAUAUCUAGGAAGGUCGUUAUGCAAAGGAGUUGUAAGUAUUUUCGAUUCUGAACCUAGAUUAGGAUUUUGAAUUUAUGCAUGUAUAUUAUUAAU
Long non-coding RNA from Carica papaya (papaya), 833 nucleotides. RefSeq lists it as uncharacterized. Lineage: Eukaryota; Viridiplantae; Streptophyta; Magnoliopsida; Brassicales; Caricaceae. The record is from RefSeq and is a predicted model, not a curated record.